AUGGGCACCACUACCGAGCAAAAGAUAGCUCUGCUCCUUCUUGGAACCAUCUGGGUUCUUCUUGGUACCUGCAAUGCUGCUGAAUUCACCCCUGCAGACAACUACCUCAUCAACUGCGGCUCCACGGUCGACGCUAAUCUCCACGAUGGGAGGGUCUUCAAAGCAGACAAUUCCGGCUUGACUAUAUUGACAUCACAUCACAGCGUCCCCGCAAACACCUUGCCGGAUGCAGUCAUAAGUUCUGACAAUCCUGUGCUGUAUCAAACUUCAAGGAUAUUCAUUGUGCCGUCGUCCUACUCCUUCAAGAUGAAGAGCCGUGGCCGGCAUUUUGUCCGGCUACACUUCUUCAGUUUCAGAUACCAGAGCUAUGAUCUUGCCGCGGCAAAGUUCAAAGUGUCCACGCAGCAUGUUGUGUUACUUGACAAUUUCACUCCGCCGAGCAAUUCCUCACCAUUGGUCAGGGAGUAUUCGCUGAAUAUUACCGAGGAUAUGCUGAUUCUCUCAUUUGUGCCUCAGGGAAACAGCACAUCUUUCAUCAGUGCUAUUGAAGUAAUAUCUGUUCCUGAUGAUCUGAUACAGGAUUCAGCGCAAACUGUGAAUCCCUCCGGCCAGUAUCUCGGCCUUGCAACGCAGUCAUUUCAGACAUUCUACAGGAUUAAUGUGGGUGGACGGGAGGUGACCGUUGUCAAUGACACACUCUCGCGUUCAUGGGAUACUGACCAGAACUUCUUCCUAAAUUCCACUACCACUGAACUAUUUGCUUACCAAGGGAAGCUGAAUUAUCAGAAAGGAGCUGCAACCAAGGAGGAUGCACCGGACAGUGUGUACAACACUGCAAGGCGGUUGGCUGUGCAAAAUAGAACCAGCCCAGCGUCCAACAUGACAUGGCAAUUUGAUGUUGACGGUCGUUCGAGCUAUCUGAUCCGGUUCCAUUUUUGUGACAUAGUGAGCAAGGCAGCAUAUUCCCUCUACUUUGAUAUUUAUGUGGAUGGCGGGUUAGCGUUAGAAAAUCUUGACCUCUCUGAAAAAGUUUUUGGUACCUUGGCUGUGCCAUACUACACGGAAUUUGUCUUGAAGUCAAGCAAUCCUUCUGGUAAGCUAAGUGUCGGCGUUGGGCCUUCCAGCUUGAACAAUGUGGCGCCAGAUGGCAUCUUGAACGGCCUGGAGAUCAUGAAGAUGAACAUCAGUACUGGCACUAUUUAUGUUGUGUGGCCACCAGCACCGCCAAAAAGGAAACUGGCUAUCAUAUUGGGCUCUGUUCUCGGAGGUGUUGGUGCUGUUAGCAUUGCUAUUAUUCUCUGCUUUGUCCUCAGAAGAAAGAAGAAGGAGAAGAAGCCGCGGCGGGCACCGACAAGUCGACCUUCAAGUUCUUGGUCACCACUUACCCUCAAUGGCCUUAGCUUCCUUACCGUAGGUACCCGAACAACCAGCCGGACCACUCAUACAUCUGGGACAAACAGUGAUGUAAGCUACCGAAUUCCUUUUGCUUUGCUGCAAGUGGCAACAAAACACUUUGACGAGCAGAUGGUUGUCGGAGUUGGGGGGUUUGGGAAGGUAUACAAAGCAGUUCUGCAGGACAGCACCAAAGUCGCAGUCAAGCGGGGCAACCAGAAGUCCCACCAAGGGCUCAAAGAAUUCCGGACAGAGAUCGAGCUGCUGUCGGGGCUGCGACACCGUCACCUCGUGUCGCUCAUCGGAUAUUGCGAUGAGCAGAACGAGAUGAUCUUGGUGUAUGAGUACAUGGAGAAAGGCACGCUGAAGAGUCACCUGUAUGGCAGUGACAUGCCUCCCCUCAGCUGGAAGAAAAGAGUGGAAAUCUGCAUAGGGGCUGCAAGGGGGCUCCACUACCUGCACACAGGUUUUGCAAAGUCGAUCAUCCAUCGUGAUGUCAAGUCGGCAAACAUUCUCCUCGACGAAAAUCUCAUGGCCAAGGUUUCUGAUUUCGGUCUCUCGAAGACGGGACCUGAGUUGGAUCAGACACAUGUUAGCACUGCGGUGAAAGGGAGCUUCGGGUAUCUUGACCCUGAGUACUACCGGAGGCAGAAGCUGACCGACAAAUCGGAUGUGUACUCAUUUGGCGUGGUCUUGCUGGAGGUGAUCUGCGCGAGGCCAGUCAUCGACCCGACGCUUCCAAGAGACAUGAUCAACCUUGCAGAAUGGGCAAUCAAGUGGCAGAAGAGGGGAGAGCUUGGUCAGAUUGUCGAUCAACGGAUCGCUGGGACAAUCAGGCCAGAGUCAUUGAGGAAGUACGGUGAGACGGUCGAGAAGUGUCUUGCGAAUUACGGCGUCGACCGCCCUACCAUGGGUGAUGUACUGUGGAAUCUGGAGUUUGUGCUCCAGCUGCAGGAGGCCGGCCCGGACAUCUCCAAUGUCGACAGCAUGAAUCAGAUCUCUGAACUUCCUUCAGACGCCAGAAGGAUGGGCUCUCUGGAGAUCCGCACCGCAGACGAAGCAGACGAAAGCCGCACAAACAUGGAUUACUCUCAGAUGUCGACCAACGAUGCCUUCUCGCAGCUGAUUAACACUGAAGGGAGGUGA
RNAcentral lists this ribosomal RNA (2538 nucleotides) under Triticum aestivum (bread wheat). RNAcentral describes it as "partial small subunit ribosomal RNA". Lineage: Eukaryota; Viridiplantae; Streptophyta; Magnoliopsida; Poales; Poaceae. The record is from RNAcentral.